GCCUGGGUAGCUCAGUCAGUCGAGCGUCUGACUUCAGUUCAGGUUGUGAACUCGUGGUUCAUGAGUUUAAACCUCACAUCGGGCU
This 85-nucleotide transfer RNA is filed under the name Felis catus (domestic cat). It matches the Rfam family "tRNA". From Rfam's summary of the family: Transfer RNA (tRNA) molecules are approximately 80 nucleotides in length. Lineage: Eukaryota; Metazoa; Chordata; Mammalia; Carnivora; Felidae. The record is from Rfam by way of RNAcentral.